Molecule: ribosomal RNA, 403 nt
Filed under: uncultured bacterium
Lineage: Bacteria
Description: bacterial SSU rRNA
Rfam family: Bacterial small subunit ribosomal RNA
Source: RNAcentral
UGGGGAAUAUUGUACAAUGGGGGAAACCCUGAUGCAGCGACGCCGCGUGGAGGAUGACGGCCUUCGGGUUGUAAACUCCUUUUGUCAGGGACAAUGGUGAUGGUACCUGACGAAUAAGCCACGGCUAACUCUGUGCCAGCAGCCGCGGUAAGACAGAGGUGGCGAGCGUUGUUCGGGAUUACUGGGCUUAAAGGGCGCGUAGGCGGUGGUGUAAGUCUGGGGUGGAAUGCUACAGCUCAACUGUAGAGCUGCCUUGGAAACUGCAUUACUUGAGUCGGUGAGGGGAAGGCGGAAUUCCGGGUGUAGCGGUGAAAUGCGUAGAUAUCAGGAGGAAGGUCUGUGGCGAAGGCGGCCUUCUGGCACUUGACUGACGCUGAGGCGCGAAAGCGUGGGGAGCAAACAG